GCAGAGCACUCUACGGGAGGCAGCAGUGGGGAAUAUUGCACAAUGGGCGCAAGCCUGAUGCAGCCAUGCCGCGUGUAUGAAGAAGGCCUUCGGGUUGUAAAGUACUUUCAGCAGUGAGGAAGUGGGUAUGUUAAUAGCAUACUCAUUUGACGUUAGCUGCAGAAGAAGCACCGGCUAACUCCGUGCCAGCAGCCGCGGUAAUACGGAGGGUGCGAGCGUUAAUCGGAAUUACUGGGCGUAAAGCGCAUGCAGGUGGUUUGUUAAGUCAGAUGUGAAAGCCCGGGGCUCAACCUCGGAAUUGCAUUUGAAACUGGCAAACUAGAGUACUGUAGAGGGGGUAGAAUUUCAGGUGUAGCGGUGAAAUGCGUAGAGAUCUGAAGGAAUACCGGUGGCGAAGGCGGCCCCCUGGACAGAUACUGACACUCAGAUGCGAAAGCGUGGGGAGCAAACAGGAUUAGAUACCCUGGUAG
Molecule: ribosomal RNA, 470 nt
Filed under: uncultured bacterium
Lineage: Bacteria
Description: bacterial SSU rRNA
Rfam family: Bacterial small subunit ribosomal RNA
Source: RNAcentral